This 393-nucleotide ribosomal RNA is filed under the name uncultured bacterium. Its description in RNAcentral is "partial 16S ribosomal RNA". It matches the Rfam family "Bacterial small subunit ribosomal RNA", at positions 523 to 918 of the family's 1533-position model. The record is from RNAcentral.
AUACGGAGGAUCCGAGCGUUAUCCGGAUUUAUUGGGUUUUAAGGGAGCGUAGGUGGGAUAUUAAGUCAGCUGUGAAAGUUUGGGGCUCAACCUUAAAAUUGCAGUUGAUACUGGUUUCCUUGAGUACGGUAUAGGUGGGCGGAAUUCGUGGUGUAGCGGUGAAAUGCUUAGAUAUCACGAAGAACUCCGAUCGCGAAGGCAGCUCACCGGGCCGGAACUGACACUGAUGCUCGAAAGUGCGGGUAUCAAACAGGAUUAGAUACCCUGGUAGUCCGCACAGUAAACGAUGAAUACUCGCUGUUUGCGAUACACUGUAAGCGGCCAAGCGAAAGCGUUAAGUAUUCCACCUGGGGAGUACGCCGGCAACGGUGAAACUCAAAGGAAUUGACGGGG